UACGUAGGGGGCAAGCGUUGUCCGGAAUCAUUGGGCGUAAAGAGCGUGUAGGCGGUUCGGUAAGUCGGCUGUGAAAGUCCAGGGCUCAACCCUGGGAUGCCGGUCGAUACUGCCGGACUAGAGUUCGGAAGAGGCGAGUGGAAUUCCCGGUGUAGCGGUGAAAUGCGCAGAUAUCAGGAAGAACACCAACGGCGAAGGCAGCUCGCUGGGACGGAACUGACGCUGAGGCGCGAAAGCGUGGGGAGCGAACAGG
RNAcentral lists this ribosomal RNA (253 nucleotides) under uncultured bacterium. RNAcentral describes it as "partial 16S ribosomal RNA". It matches the Rfam family "Bacterial small subunit ribosomal RNA", at positions 524 to 776 of the family's 1533-position model. The record is from RNAcentral.